GAUCAACGCUGGCGGCGUGCCUCAGACAUGCAAGUCGAACGAUUAAACUUCCUUUCGGGGAAGAUAUAAAGUGGCGUACGGGUGAGUAACACGUAGGUAAUGUACCUUUGGGUGGGAAUAACUUAGGGAACUUAAGCUAAUACCGCAUAAUGCAGCGGCUCGAUAUCGAGACAGUUGUUAAAGGAGUAAUCCGCCUAAAGAGCAGCCUGCGGCAGAUUAGCUAGUUGGUAAGGUAAUGGCUUACCAAGGCUACGAUCUGUAACCGACCUGAGAGGGUGGUCGGUCACACUGACACUGAAUAACGGGUCAGACUCCUACGGGAGGCAGCAGUCGGGAAUUUUGGGCAAUGGGCGAAAGCCUGACCCAGCAACGCCGCGUGAAGGAUGAAGUCUCUCGGGAUGUAAACUUCGUAAGAAUAGGAAGAAUAAAUGACGGUACUAUUUGUAAGGUCCGGCGUAACUACGUGCCAGCAGCCGCGGU
RNAcentral lists this ribosomal RNA (480 nucleotides) under uncultured bacterium. RNAcentral's name for it is "bacterial SSU rRNA". It matches the Rfam family "Bacterial small subunit ribosomal RNA", at positions 28 to 521 of the family's 1533-position model. The record is from RNAcentral.